CCUACGGGAGGCAGCAGUGGGGAAUAUUGCACAAUGGGGGAAACCCUGAUGCAGCGACGCCGCGUGAGUGCAGCAGUAUUUCGGUAUGUAAAGCUCUAUCAGCAGGGAAGAAAUAGCGACCUUUGGGUCGCCAGACGGUACCUGACUAAGAAGCACCGGCUAACUACGUGCCAGCAGCCGCGGUAAUACGUAGGGGGCAAUCGUUAUCCGGAUUUACUGGGUGUAAAGGGAGCGUAGAAGGCAGCACAAGUCCUAAGUGAAAUGCCGGGGCUUAACCCCGGAACUGCUUUGGAAACUGUGCAGCUAGAGUGCAGGAGAGGUAAGUGGAAUUCCUAGUGUAGCGGUGAAAUGCGUAGAUAUUAGGAGGAACACCAGUGGCGAAGGCGGCUUACUGGACUGUAACUGACGUUGAGGCUCGAAAGCGUGGGGAGCAAACAGGAUUAGAUACCCCGGUAGUC
Molecule: ribosomal RNA, 458 nt
Filed under: uncultured bacterium
Lineage: Bacteria
Description: partial 16S ribosomal RNA
Rfam family: Bacterial small subunit ribosomal RNA
Source: RNAcentral